Non-coding RNA from Aegilops tauschii subsp. strangulata, 2098 nucleotides. Lineage: Eukaryota; Viridiplantae; Streptophyta; Magnoliopsida; Poales; Poaceae. The record is from RefSeq and is a predicted model, not a curated record.
CACCAAAGGAAAAGCCUAUAUGACACCGCGGGUUCACCCCGCCCCGCCGCUUAGGGAAAAGAAAAAGGAAAAUCUAUCCCUUUGGGCGCCGCACGGGUCGAGAAGCUCAGAGCUAUGGCGAUGGCGGAGGCGGAAGAUCAUGGAUUCGAGUUCCUAUCAGAUCCGGCUGCCAGGUUCCCGCUGCCGGAUCUUGGAGGUGGCGACUCCAAACUGCACAUCGAACACACCCAAAUUCUGGUAUGCACGGCCGCUGAGUUCAGCAUUGGUGAUGUUGGCUAUGUGGCGCUGACAGUCCAAGUAGACCUAAACAGCACUUGCGAGGGGCUGAGUUUGUGGGAAAAGAUCUCAGAGGAAUCAUCGGCAAAGAUCUCAAGCCCCGGGCUGGACGAAGAGAAUAAGUGCCCUGAAGAAAACAGUGAGAGUCUAUGCCGAGAAGAAGACUGGCACCGUUAUAGUUCCUGAAGUAGGGAGCAAUUUUUAUUCAUCCAAAGAAGCAUAUGACUAUUACAAUCCAGAGAAAUUGGGUUCGGAAUUAGAUACGGGAAGAGCAGGCUAAACGUCCAGAGAACAAAAUGACUGCAGGAGAUAGUUCGUGGAUGCUCGGGCAAACCAAAAGGAAGUAACACACGGUCUUGCCAGUGCAGGUGCCCCGCAAUGAUACGGUUGCUGCGGUCAAACGACAGCGGCUGGUAUAUAAGCAAGCAUAGGCCGUCACACAAUCACUAUAUACACACGUGACCUUGCAGCUCCGCGAAAAUAAUAUUAGCAUCGGCAAGGUGUACAACAUAAUUGGUAGUUUCUUUAUGGUUCAAUGAGCAAUGUACCUUUCAGCAAAAGGGCGUUGAGGCAUACGAUGACGUCCGAAAGACAAUGGAGGUUUUUUUCGGGAACACGCCUUGGGCCUCGUUUCAUUGAUAGAAAGGAGUGGUGAACAGUACAAGGGGUGCCACUCCUACUGUCGUGCGCUAACAGGCGUCAGUAGGAGGAGAAUGGAGGUUUUUGCAGAAUUGGGAUCAAAAGAUUCUGGGUUUUACUACAGGGUACAACCCGACGAACAUAGCUGCAUACCGAACUUGAUCUAUACGGGAGCAAGCAGGGCAUAGUACCAUGACUUCGGAGACGCAAUAACAUUUGAUACGACAUACCGCACAAACCUGUAUGAUAUACGUUUGGACUGUUUGUGGGGGUGAGCAAUUACUUUCAAAGCAUGAUCUUCGGCAGCGCUCUUGUAAGGGAUGAGACAGUAGAAACAUUUGAGUGGGUGUUCACUGAAUUUAUCUGCAUGAUGGGCGGCAAGCAUCCGCGGACCUUGCUCAUAGUAAGGUGUGUGGUUGCAUGCCUGUAGAUCAGUCCAGGGCAAUGGAGGUAGCAAUCAAGAAGGUGAUGCCAGAAACCACCCGCCAUUGGUGCAAGUUGCACGUGCUUAAGAAGGCAAAUGAAUUUCUUGGUCCAUAUUACACAAACUGGAGCAACUUCAAAUUAGAAUUCCCAAGACAAUACAUCACAUGCUGACGAUUCAUGAGUUCAAGACUGCAUGGAAGGAGCUGACAGAGGCAUGUGGUCUGAAAAACAACCUUACCUAAACAGCUAUGAAACAAGAUCAAAAUGGGAGUAACCGUACUUCAAUGGUAAAUUCUAUGCACCUGUAAAAAAAUGGUGAAUUCUGUGCAAAAAUGAGCACCACACAACGUAGUGAGAGUCCCAACCAUAUGCUCAGGGCUUGUUUGCCAAUACAUGAGAUUUCUGUAGUAUAUGCCACGAGCCAGGUCACAAGAGCACCACCUGUCCAUAGAAAGGCGAUCUUCCUCAGAAGGAAAGAGAAGAAGCUAAAUGCCCAAACUAUGUUGUCGGUGGUCACAGGAAGAACACCUGCAACAAGCUAAGGUUGUGCUGCAUAUUGUUGAAAAUGCUACUUUAGAGGAAAAGAGAUGUGCGGGUGACCUGAUUAGAUUCAGCAUUUUUAUUUAUGUGUUGUUGAGGGCUCCGUAGCCGUUUGCCAGAACAUUGUGUUCUGUCUCAUAAUAGUUGUUUAUGAGCAUGUGCUCUUGCCUUUCUAUGCAUGUUUAUCAUAAUUAUUAUCUGUGAAAAUUCAGUGACA